Molecule: long non-coding RNA, 421 nt
Filed under: Trifolium pratense (red clover)
Lineage: Eukaryota; Viridiplantae; Streptophyta; Magnoliopsida; Fabales; Fabaceae
Description: long non-coding RNA (TPRA_LNC009456)
Source: RNAcentral
GGUCUUCAUGAGAAUAAUCUGUGUGUCUACUCUCCAUAAAAUUAGAAUUUGGUCUAAGAAUAAUAAUUCUUGCACAUUAUGUUCAUAAACUCAUAUUUGACUUUUUCUCAACAUGAAAGUAUUUUUUCUACACUUAUGUGUUAUGAUAGAAAUACGAUCAGAUGUUUUAACAUAAGAUCCUCUUGAAUUUUUUGCUAUAAAAAGGAAACAUCUUCAGCGUAGAAAUAUUUGGAAAAGAGAGAAAUUUAUUUAUGACAUGUUGUCAAUUUACUCUGAUUUCAAAGUUUUUCAUAUGCGCAAUUUUCUCUCUAAUUUCAAAGUUUUUGGACAAUUCUAAAUUAUAUUUUAUUAAUAAAAUGACCACAACAUAGUCUUGUCCAUCAUUUUUUUUUGGAAUGAUCAUGUUUUAAAAGAAAAAAGU